GGUUUACAGAGGACUAAUCCUUCGGGGCUCUUCCAGCGCCCGACCUUGUGCGUGACGCUUCUCCGAGCUCCCUCGGCCAUCCGGACUGCUUCGACGAUGGGCUUCUGCAUUCACCCAUCGGGCCGCCCCAAAGGCCCUCUGAGCCUCACUGAUUAGCCGACCUUCUACAGCAAUCGACUACCCCCGAACUUCUUUCGGGCUUCGUCAGCAUCCGAGCUUCUCCGACAAUGAGAUUUCUACGGUAACCGGACUCCUUCCAAGUUUCUACGGUGGACGACCACC
RNAcentral lists this long non-coding RNA (282 nucleotides) under Elaeis guineensis (African oil palm). RNAcentral's name for it is "long non-coding RNA (EGUI_LNC079604)". The record is from RNAcentral. Lineage: Eukaryota; Viridiplantae; Streptophyta; Magnoliopsida; Arecales; Arecaceae.